This 74-nucleotide transfer RNA is filed under the name Pleionea litopenaei. Its description in RNAcentral is "Pleionea sp. HL-JVS1 tRNA-Ile". It matches the Rfam family "tRNA". From Rfam's summary of the family: Transfer RNA (tRNA) molecules are approximately 80 nucleotides in length. Lineage: Bacteria; Pseudomonadati; Pseudomonadota; Gammaproteobacteria; Oceanospirillales; Pleioneaceae. The record is from RNAcentral.
GGGCUGCUAGCUCAAUUGAUAAGAGCAUCCGGCUCAUAACCGGAGGGUUCCGAGUUCGAGUCUCGGGCGGCCCA